This 379-nucleotide ribosomal RNA is filed under the name uncultured eukaryote. RNAcentral describes it as "partial 18S ribosomal RNA". It matches the Rfam family "Eukaryotic small subunit ribosomal RNA", at positions 592 to 976 of the family's 1831-position model. The record is from RNAcentral.
CAAUAGCGUAUAUUUAAGUUGUUGCAGUUAAAAAGCUCGUAGUUGGAUUUCGGAUGGGACUUGCCGGUCCGUCGUUGCGAUGUGCACUGGCCAGUCCUAUCUUGUUGUCGGGGACUAGCUCUUGGUCUUCACUGGCCGGGACUAGGAGCUGACGAGGUUACUUUGAGUAAAUUAGAGUGUUCAAAGCAAGCCUACGCUCUGAAUACAUUAGCAUGGAAUAACACGAUAGGACUCUGGCUUAUCUUGUUGGUCUGUGAGACCAGAGUAAUGAUUAAGAGGGACAGUCGGGGACAUUCGUAUUUCAUUGUCAGAGGUGAAAUUCUUGGAUUUAUGAAAGACGAACUUCUGCGAAAGCAUUUGCCAAGGAUGUUUUCAUUAA